GACGAACGCUGGCGGCGUGCUUAACACAUGCAAGUCGAACGAUGAACCCGGAGCUUGCUCUGGGGGAUUAGUGGCGAACGGGUGAGUAACACGUGAGUAACCUGCCCUGGACUCUGGGAUAAGCGUUGGAAACGACGUCUAAUACCGGAUAGGACCUUGGAUCGCAUGAUCUGGGGUGGAAAGUUUUUUCGGUCUGGGAUGGACUCGCGGCCUAUCAGCUUGUUGGUGAGGUAAUGGCUCACCAAGGCGUCGACGGGUAGCCGGCCUGAGAGGGUGACCGGCCACGCUGGGACUGAGACACGGCCCAGACUCCUACGGGAGGCAGCAAGGGGGAAUAUUGCACAAUGGGCGAAAGCCUGAUGCAGCAACGCCGCGUGCGGGAUGACGGCCUUCGGGUUGUAAACCGCUUUUAGUAGGGAAGAAGGGCUUCGGCUUGACGGUACCUGCAGAAAAAGGACCGGCUAACUACGUG
RNAcentral lists this ribosomal RNA (472 nucleotides) under uncultured bacterium. RNAcentral's name for it is "partial 16S ribosomal RNA". It matches the Rfam family "Bacterial small subunit ribosomal RNA", at positions 28 to 507 of the family's 1533-position model. The record is from RNAcentral.